RNAcentral lists this unclassified non-coding RNA (247 nucleotides) under Pleosporales sp. RNAcentral describes it as "partial contains 5.8S ribosomal RNA, internal transcribed spacer 2, and large subunit ribosomal RNA". The record is from RNAcentral. Lineage: Eukaryota; Fungi; Ascomycota; Dothideomycetes; Pleosporales.
CGCACAUUGCGCCCCUCGGUAUUCCGUGGGGCAUGCCUGUUCGAGCGUCAUUUCAACCCUCAAGCACAGCUUGGUGUUGGGUGCUUGUCCCGCCUCCGCGCGGCGACUCACCUUAAAAUCAGUGGCAGCCCGCAUCCGCCGGCCGUGAGCGCAGCACAGUCGCGCCCUAGGCACUGGUAGGUCGGCUCUCCAGAAGCAUACCUUCUAUUUUGACCUCGGAUCAGGUAGGGAUACCCGCUGAACUUAA